This 301-nucleotide ribosomal RNA is filed under the name uncultured bacterium. RNAcentral's name for it is "partial 16S ribosomal RNA". It matches the Rfam family "Bacterial small subunit ribosomal RNA", at positions 509 to 807 of the family's 1533-position model. The record is from RNAcentral.
CAGUCGCCACGGGAAUACAGAGGGUGCGAGCGUUAAUCGGAUUUACUGGGCGUAAAGCGUGCGUAGGCGGCUUCUUAAGUCGGAUGUGAAAUCCCUGAGCUUAACUUAGGAAUUGCAUUCGAUACUGGGAAGCUAGAGUCUUGUAGAGGGGGGUAGAAUUCCAGGUGUAGCGGUGAAAUGCGUAGAGAUCUGGAGGAAUACCGGUGGCGAAGGCGGCCCCCUGGACAAAGACUGACGCUCAGGUGCGAAAGCGUGGGGAGCAAACAGGAUUAGAUACCCCGGUAGUCCCUGUCUCUUAUAC